GGAAGUAAAAGUCUAACAAGGUUUCCGUAGGUGAACCUGCGGAAGGAUCAUUAUUGUAUAACCGAGGUGCGAGGGCUGUCGCUGACCCGAAAGGUCGUGCACGCCCGAGUGCCCUCACACACAUCCAUCUCACCCCUAUGUGCACCACCGCGUGGGUCCCCCUUUGGCUUGUUCGGAGGGGGGCUUACGUUUUCACACAAACUUUGUAUGCAGUGUAGAAUGUAUUUUUUGCUUUUGCGAUCACGCAAUCAAUACAACUUUCAACAACGGAUCUCUUGGCUCUC
RNAcentral lists this unclassified non-coding RNA (284 nucleotides) under plant metagenome. RNAcentral's name for it is "partial contains small subunit ribosomal RNA, internal transcribed spacer 1, and 5.8S ribosomal RNA". The stretch from base 1 to 53 matches the Rfam family "Eukaryotic small subunit ribosomal RNA", at positions 1778 to 1831 of the family's 1831-position model. The record is from RNAcentral.